Molecule: small RNA, 597 nt
Filed under: Pan troglodytes (chimpanzee)
Lineage: Eukaryota; Metazoa; Chordata; Mammalia; Primates; Hominidae
Description: processed transcript
Source: RNAcentral
AAAGCAAGCUGGAGAGGGAGAGAGGAUGGGAGGCGAGGAGGCAGCCUGAGGGAAGGAACAGGAGGGAAGAGAGAUGAAGGGCAAGACCAGGGCCAGCCAUGCCUGUCCUAACAGCAGCCACCCAGCAGUGGCCCAGCCUGCUGAGAACUAGAAAAUCAGAAGAAAAAGGAGAAUCCACCAGGAGACCCAGGUUCCCAUGAGCAGGGGCCUUUAUCUGAAGUUAAUGGAAGCUGAGCCAGGUCCUGACAAUGUGCCUUCUGAUGGGGAGAUGAGACUUUCCUCUGAAAGCUAAGGUAACUCUGAAGCGUGAGCUGCCAGAAUUCAAGGCCACCUGCUUAACAGAAGACAACUAGAAACCUCAUCCAUGAGCAUAAGUUUCAGUUCAAAUAUGACACCCUCCCAUUGAUGGAAAUCAUUUCACCACCAGACGUUAUGUGGCUCAUUGUUUACCCGCUGCCUGCCUCCCGGCUGGAGAGGCGCAGGGAGCUGCCUGUCCCUCCUGUUCAGAGCCACCGUUCCGCACCUGGACCACCGCUUGGCAGAGGCGGGAGUGGAGGCUGUCACCAUCAGGAUGAAGGACAGGGGUGGCCCGGCGUG